ACCUGGGUGGCUCAGUAGGUUGAGCAUCUGAUUUCAGCUCAGGUCAUGAUCUCGCAGUUUGUGAGUUCAAGCCCCAUAUCAGGCU
RNAcentral lists this transfer RNA (85 nucleotides) under Felis catus (domestic cat). It matches the Rfam family "tRNA". Rfam says of the family: Transfer RNA (tRNA) molecules are approximately 80 nucleotides in length. Their secondary structure includes four short double-helical elements and three loops (D, anti-codon, and T loops). Further hydrogen bonds mediate the characteristic L-shaped molecular structure. tRNAs have two regions of fundamental functional importance: the anti-codon, which is responsible for specific mRNA codon recognition, and the 3' end, to which the tRNAs corresponding amino acid is attached (by aminoacyl-tRNA synthetases). tRNAs cope with the degeneracy of the genetic code in two manners: having more than one tRNA (with a specific anti-codon) for a particular amino acid; and 'wobble' base-pairing, i.e. permitting non-standard base-pairing at the 3rd anti-codon position. The record is from Rfam by way of RNAcentral. Lineage: Eukaryota; Metazoa; Chordata; Mammalia; Carnivora; Felidae. RNAcentral also lists the same sequence under 2 other names.